This 429-nucleotide ribosomal RNA is filed under the name Pseudomonadota bacterium. RNAcentral describes it as "Proteobacteria bacterium partial 16S ribosomal RNA". It matches the Rfam family "Bacterial small subunit ribosomal RNA", at positions 355 to 776 of the family's 1533-position model. Lineage: Bacteria; Pseudomonadati; Pseudomonadota. The record is from RNAcentral.
UGGGGAAUAUUGGACAAUGGGCGAAAGCCUGAUCCAGCCAUGCCGCGUGUGUGAAGAAGGUCUUCGGAUUGUAAAGCACUUUAAGUUGGGAGGAAGGGCAGUAAGGGAAUACCUUGCUGUUUUGACGUUACCGACAGAAUAAGCACCGGCUAACUCUGUGCCAGCAGCCGCGGUAAUACAGAGGGUGCAAGCGUUAAUCGGAAUUACUGGGCGUAAAGCGCGCGUAGGUGGUUCGUUAAGUUGAAUGUGAAAGCCCCGGGCUCAACCUGGGAACUGCAUCCAAAACUGGCGAGCUAGAGUAGGGCAGAGGGUGGUGGAAUUUCCUGUGUAGCGGAGAAAUGCGUAGAUAUAGGAAGGAACACCAGUGGCGAAGGCGACCACCUGGGCUCAUACUGACACUGAGGUGCGAAAGCGUGGGGAGCAAACAGG